UUGAAUAAACUUGGUUAGGUUGCUGCUGGCUCUUAGGAGCAUGUGCACGCCGACUCCAUCUUUAACCACCUGUGCACUUUGCGUAGAUCUGAACAUUUCGAGGGCACUCGGUUUGAGAAUUGCUGUGCAUAAAGCCAGCUUUUCUUGUACUCAGGUCUAUGUUUUCACAUACCCCAUAUGAAUGUAUACGAACGUUGCAAUUGGCCUUGUGCCUUUAAAACAAAUA
This 226-nucleotide unclassified non-coding RNA is filed under the name uncultured Entoloma. RNAcentral's name for it is "sequence contains ITS1". Lineage: Eukaryota; Fungi; Basidiomycota; Agaricomycetes; Agaricales; Entolomataceae. The record is from RNAcentral.